RNAcentral lists this long non-coding RNA (214 nucleotides) under Mytilus galloprovincialis (Mediterranean mussel). The record is from RNAcentral. Lineage: Eukaryota; Metazoa; Mollusca; Bivalvia; Mytilida; Mytilidae.
GGGAAAUCAAGAGCAACCAUUUAACCUAGUACCCCUUGAAGUCAAGAAAACUAUACGCAUGCGCAUAAUUACCUAAACAAACCCUGUAGUAAGAACGUAUAUUAAACCUAAAUGGUUCUCUAUUAUAUAUGGAAGUACAAUAUCAAAUAUCAGUUUAAUAACGGUGACAUAUAAGUAAAACUUCACUUCAGUUCUUAUAUGACAGAAAUAGAUU